RNAcentral lists this ribosomal RNA (443 nucleotides) under uncultured bacterium. RNAcentral's name for it is "partial 16S ribosomal RNA". It matches the Rfam family "Bacterial small subunit ribosomal RNA", at positions 338 to 795 of the family's 1533-position model. The record is from RNAcentral.
CCUACGGGUGGCAGCAGUGGGGAAUAUUGGGCAAUGGGCGCAAGCCUGACCCAGCAACGCCGCGUGAAGGAAGAAGGCUUUCGGGUUGUAAACUUCUUUUCUUAGGGACGAAGAAAGUGACGGUACCUGAGGAAUAAGUCACGGCUAACGAUGUGCCAGCAGCCGCGGUAAUACGUAGGUGGCAAGCGUUAUCCGGAUUUAUUGGGUGUACAGGGCGUGUAGGCGGGAGCGCAAGUCAGAUGUGAAAUCUCAGGGCUCAACCCUGAGUCUGCAUUUGAAACUGUGUGUCUUGAGUGCUGGAGAGGCAAGCGGAAUUCGGGGUGUAGCGGUGAAAUGCGUAGAUAUACGGAGGAACACCAGUGGCGAAGGCGGAUUGCUGGACAGUAACUGACGCUGAGGCGCGAAAGCGUGGGGAGCAAACAGGAUUAGAUACCCGGGUAGUC